CGUCUAUAUACGUAUAGCAUAUCAAUAAGCGGAGGAAAAGAAACUAACUAGGAUUCCCUCAGUAACGGCGAGUGAAGCGGGAAGAGCUCAAAUUUGAAAUCUUCAAGGUUUUACCUUGACGAAUUGUAGUUUAAAGAAGUGUUUUCUGUUGGAUGUUUUGGUAAAAGUUCUUUGGAAUAGGACAUCAUAGAGGGUGAGAAUCCCGUAUUUGACCAUUACUUCCAGCUGUUGUGAUACACUUUCAAAGAGUCGGAUUGUUUGGGAAUGCAGUCCAAAAUGGGUGGUAAAUUUCAUCUAAAGCUAAAUAUUGGCGAGAGACCGAUAGCGAACAAGUACCGUGAGGGAAAGAUGAAAAGAACUUUGAAAAGAGAGUUAAACAGUACGUGAAAUUGUCAAAAGGGAAGCGUUUGACACCAGUGUUGUUUUCUCGAAAAUCAAUUAAAAAAUGAUUGGAUUUUGUGUUGUAUUGACUUUAUCAGCUUUCUGCACUCUUUUCAUUGUCUUUUUUAAUGCACUUUUCGUUUAACAAGUCAACAUCAAUUUCUUUUGUUGUAAAAGGAGUCAUUGGAAGGUGGCUUUCAUUUUCGGUAGAAAGUGUUUAUAGCCUUUGACUUCUGCAAUCGGAGAGAUUGAGGUCUGCAGCGUAGAUCCUUCGGGGUUAGAUAGCAUUUGUGCUAAGUUAUAGCUUUUCAUAGACAACAUGUUGACUAUGAUUAGUCAUGUAGCUUACUCGCUUAUGUCAUUUUACCUACGCUUAGGAUGUUGACGAUCAGCUGAGCGCG
RNAcentral lists this ribosomal RNA (782 nucleotides) under uncultured Neocallimastigales. RNAcentral describes it as "partial large subunit ribosomal RNA". It matches the Rfam family "Eukaryotic large subunit ribosomal RNA", at positions 26 to 628 of the family's 3401-position model. The record is from RNAcentral. Lineage: Eukaryota; Fungi; Neocallimastigomycota; Neocallimastigomycetes; Neocallimastigales.